This 73-nucleotide transfer RNA is filed under the name Propionibacteriaceae bacterium. Its description in RNAcentral is "tRNA-Val". It matches the Rfam family "tRNA". From Rfam's summary of the family: Transfer RNA (tRNA) molecules are approximately 80 nucleotides in length. Their secondary structure includes four short double-helical elements and three loops (D, anti-codon, and T loops). The record is from RNAcentral. Lineage: Bacteria; Bacillati; Actinomycetota; Actinomycetes; Propionibacteriales; Propionibacteriaceae.
GGACGCAUAGCUCAGUUGGUAGAGCACUUCCCUUACAAGGAAGGGGUCAUCGGUUCGAGCCCGGUUGCGUCCA